Molecule: ribosomal RNA, 500 nt
Filed under: uncultured bacterium
Lineage: Bacteria
Description: partial 16S ribosomal RNA
Rfam family: Bacterial small subunit ribosomal RNA
Source: RNAcentral
AUUGAACGCUGGCGGAAUGCUUUACACAUGCAAGUCGAACGGCAGCACGGACUUCGGUCUGGUGGCGAGUGGCGAACGGGUGAGUAAUGUAUCGGAACGUGCCCAGUCGUGGGGGAUAACGUAGUGAAAAUCACGCUAAUACCGCAUACGAUCUAUGGAUGAAAGCGGGGGAUCGCAAGCCCUCGCGCGAUUGGGGCGGCCGAUAUUAGAUUAGGUAGUUGGUGGGGUAAAGGCCCACCAAGCCAACGAUCUGUAGCUGGUCUGAGAGGACGACCAGCCACACUGGAACUGAGACACGGUCCAGACUCCUACGGGAGGCAGCAGUGGGGAAUUUUGGACAAUGGGCGAAAGCCUGAUCCAGCCAUUCCGCGUGCAGGAUGAAGGCCCUCGGGUUGUAAACUGCUUUUGUACAGAACGAAAAGGUUUCUACUAAUACUAGGAGCUCAUGACGGUACUGUAAGAAUAAGCACCGGCUAACUACGUGCCAGCAGCCGCAGUAA